RNAcentral lists this transfer RNA (90 nucleotides) under Hyphococcus sp. RNAcentral's name for it is "tRNA-Ser". It matches the Rfam family "tRNA". Rfam says of the family: Transfer RNA (tRNA) molecules are approximately 80 nucleotides in length. Their secondary structure includes four short double-helical elements and three loops (D, anti-codon, and T loops). Lineage: Bacteria; Pseudomonadati; Pseudomonadota; Alphaproteobacteria; Parvularculales; Parvularculaceae. The record is from RNAcentral.
GGACAGGUGGCCGAGUGGUCGAUGGCGCACGCUUGGAAAGCGUGUGGGCGUUAACGCGUCCCGUGGGUUCGAAUCCCACUCUGUCCGCCA